AAGCAUAUCAAUAAGCGGAGGAAAAGAAACUAACUAGGAUUCCCUUAGUAACGGCGAGUGAACCGGGAUGAGCUCAAAUUUAAAAUCUGGCGUCUUUCAGGCGUCCGAGUUGUAAUCUAUAGAGGCGUUUUCCGCGCCGGACCGCGUCCAAGUCUCUUGGAAUAGAGUAUCAAAGAGGGUGACAAUCCCGUACUUGACGCGACAACCGGUGCUCUGUGAUACGUUCUCAAUGAGUCGAGUUGUUUGGGAAUGCAGCUCUAAAUGGGUGGUAAAUUCCAUCUAAGGCUAAAUAUUGGCGAGAGACCGAUAGCGAACAAGUACCGUGAGGGAAAGAUGAAAAGCACUUUGGAAAGAGAGUUAAACAGCACGUGAAAUUGUUAAAAGGGAAACGAUUGAAGUCAGUCGUGUGAAAGGUAUUCAGCCGUCUCUGGCGGUGUAUUUGCCUUUCACGGGUCAACAUCAGUUUGAUCCGGUAGAAAAAGGCGGGAGGAA
Molecule: ribosomal RNA, 492 nt
Filed under: Vishniacozyma victoriae
Lineage: Eukaryota; Fungi; Basidiomycota; Tremellomycetes; Tremellales; Bulleribasidiaceae
Description: partial small subunit ribosomal RNA
Rfam family: Eukaryotic large subunit ribosomal RNA
Source: RNAcentral